UACAUGUGGGGCAAGCGUUGUUCGGAAUUACUGGGCAUAAAGCGUGCGUAGGUGGUUCGUUAAGUCUGAUGUGAAAGCCCUGGGCUCAACCUGGGAAUGGCAUUGGAUACUGGCGACCUAGAGUGCGGUAGAGGGGUGUGGAAUUCCCGGUGUAGCAGUGAAAUGCGUAGAUAUGGGGAGGAACACCGGUGGCGAAGGCGGCCAUCUGGACGGAUACUGACGCUGAGACGCGAAAGCGUGGGUAGCAAACAGG
This 253-nucleotide ribosomal RNA is filed under the name uncultured bacterium. Its description in RNAcentral is "partial 16S ribosomal RNA". It matches the Rfam family "Bacterial small subunit ribosomal RNA", at positions 524 to 776 of the family's 1533-position model. The record is from RNAcentral.